AGAGUUUGAUCCUGGCUCAGGACGAACGCUGGCGGCGCGCCUAACACAUGCAAGUCGAACGAGCGAGAGAGAGCUUGCUUUCUUGAGCGAGUGGCGAACGGGUGAGUAACGCGUGAGGAACCUGCCUCAAAGAGGGGGACAACAGUUGGAAACGACUGCUAAUACCGCAUAAGCCCACGGCUCGGCAUCGAGCAGAGGGAAAAGGAGCAAUCCGCUUUGAGAUGGCCUCGCGUCCGAUUAGCUAGUUGGUGAGGUAACGGCCCACCAAGGCGACGAUCGGUAGCCGGACUGAGAGGUUGAACGGCCACAUUGGGACUGAGACACGGCCCAGACUCCUACGGGAGGCAGCAGUGGGGAAUAUUGCACAAUGGGGGAAACCCUGAUGCAGCGACGCCGCGUGGAGGAAGAAGGUCUUCGGAUUGUAAACUCCUGUUGUUGAGGAAGAUAAUGACGGUACUCAACAAGGAAGUGACGGCUAACUACGUGCCAGCAGCCGCGGUAAAACGUAGGUCACAAGCGUUGUCCGGAAUUGCUGGGUGUAAAGGGAGCGCAGGCGGGAAGACAAGUUGGAAGUGAAAUCCAUGGGCUCAACCCAUGAACUGCUUCAAAACUGUUUUUCUUGAGUAGUGCAGAGGUAGGCGGAAUUCCCGGUGUAGCGGUGGAAUGCGUAGAUAUCGGGAGGAACACCAGUGGCGAAGGCGGCCUACUGGGCACCAACUGACGCUGAGGCUCGAAAGUGUGGGUAGCAAACAGGAUUAGAUACCCUGGUAGUCCACACUGUAAACGAUGAUUACUAGGUGUUGGAGGAUUGACCCCUUCAGUGCCGCAGUUAACACAAUAAGUAAUCCACCUGGGGAGUACGACCGCAAGGUUGAAACUCAAAGGAAUUGACGGGGGCCCGCACAAGCAGUGGAGUAUGUGGCUUAAUUCGACGCAACGCGAAGAACCUUACCAAGUCUUGACAUCCUGCGACGCACAUAGAAAUAUGUGUUUCCUUCGGGACGCAGAGACAGGUGGUGCAUGGUUGUCGUCAACUCGUGUCGUGAGAUGUUGGGUUAAGUCCCGCAACGAGCGCAACCCUUAUGGUCAGUUACUACGCAAGAGGACUCUGGCCAGACUGCCGUUGACAAAACGGAGGAAGGUGGGGAUGACGUCAAAUCAUCAUGCCCUUUAUGACUUGGGCUACACACGUACUACAAUGGCGUUAAACAAAGAGAAGCAAGACCGCGAGGUGGAGCAAAACUCAGAAACAACGUCCCAGUUCGGACUGCAGGCUGCAACUCGCCUGCACGAAGUCGGAAUUGCUAGUAAUCGCAGAUCAGCAUGCUGCGGUGAAUACGUUCCCGGGCCUUGUACACACCGCCCGUCACACCAUGAGAGCCGGGGGGACCCGAAGUCGGUAGUCUAACCGCAA
Molecule: ribosomal RNA, 1414 nt
Filed under: metagenome
Description: bacterial SSU rRNA
Rfam family: Bacterial small subunit ribosomal RNA
Source: RNAcentral